Non-coding RNA from Paramuricea clavata, 450 nucleotides. NCBI's taxonomy places the organism in Eukaryota, Metazoa, Cnidaria, Anthozoa, Malacalcyonacea, Plexauridae. The record is from the annotation of a GenBank genome assembly.
CCAUGAUAUUAUCUUGCAACUAAAUUGAAUCUGAAUUAUAUAAUGUAAUAUUUACUUUUACAGGAUCUAAUUUAGAUAAGCAGAGAAGUUGAGUGUGGAAGAACAAAAGAUUAAGGAAAUCUCGAAACAGUAUGAGAAACUUAAAACUCUGCUUAAUCAAAAAACCCAAUCUCGAACACGUAGACUAAACACCGGCACUACUUUGGAUACAAUCAACAACCCUAAUUCUGGAGUACGCUACCAAAGACGAGGAGAAACCAAAAAUGUCCUCGAGUUCAUCCAUGGUGGUGAAAAUGGAGCAUUGCUUGGUGCGUGGGACUUUGUGUCAGCAGAAGCACCAAAGGCUAUGAUGGAAAACCUCAUUGGUAACUAUAGGAGAGGAAAGUAUGUGGAAGGGAUAGUAAGAAAAACAGUGAAAGAUUAUACACAAUCUAAAAACACAUUGUCGGA